RNAcentral lists this long non-coding RNA (248 nucleotides) under Marmota monax (woodchuck). The record is from RNAcentral. Lineage: Eukaryota; Metazoa; Chordata; Mammalia; Rodentia; Sciuridae.
GUUUGGUCUUUAAAUGGGCAUUUUAUAUUAGUAAGGGCUUUUUCCUUUGAAUAGAAAGAGUUGAAUUUUAAAGACUCAUGACAUUUGUCGCUUAGUUUUCCUACUGCAUUCCAACAACCUGCCAAUCAUGAACAGUGAAGACCACUCUUCUCAUUUUCCUUCUCCUUUAUUCUUUCCUUAAAAAUCCACUUUUGCUUUUAAAAAUGCAAAUCAGAGACACAUUCCACAAGCAGUGACAUUCAGUAGCA